This is a long non-coding RNA of Canis lupus familiaris (dog), 1909 nucleotides long. RefSeq lists it as uncharacterized. The transcript has 4 exons. Lineage: Eukaryota; Metazoa; Chordata; Mammalia; Carnivora; Canidae. The record is from RefSeq and is a predicted model, not a curated record.
UCUAAAUGCACACUGGGAGCAGAGAGAUUUGGAGCUUUGGUUCUGUUUCUUCCAUCAAAUUGCUGCAUGGCUUUAGGCAGAUCUCAUCACCUGCCUGGAUACUCAGUUUAUAGACAUAUAAAUGAAGCCCCACAGCUUUGAGCUGGGAGAAGGCUGCUCCAGUUCUACACUAUCCUUCCCUAUGUGACUUGAUGAAACCAAGCCUUUCUGUUCCCUGAGGUACAAUAUUGAAAUUAGGCCAACUAAUAACCCACCCCACAGUGGCCUCUAAGUGUUCAAGUAAAAGGAAGAGUCACAUUUCUCUCAUUUUAAAUUGAAAGCUAAAACUGAUUAAGCUCAGUGAGGAAGGCAUGUCAAAAGCUGAGACAGGUAGAAAGGUGCAUGGCUCCAGCUUCAAACAAAAUCCAUAGAUCUGGACAUUUUCCUAGGAAGUUGUUUCAAUAAGAACAGUUUAUUCCUAUCAGAGAAUCAAAUCUACUACUUUAUCUGCUACCCUCCAGAAUGUAAACAUCAUGUUUGCAUCGACUCCAGCUUAAUGCUUAAUUGCUCCAUAAAAUGUGUACUGGCCUAUCCAGUACACUCUGCAUUUCAUUUUCUUUGCCACAUUGAUUGGCUCAGGAAUAAGCAUAGGGACUGAUGCAAUCCAGUGAAAGUCCUGAAAUUCAUGUGGAAAAUGUAGAGAAGAGAAAACCUCUUUUGACUGUACUUAGAAUGGUGUGGAACCACACCUGGAGUUGUUGGCUCCAACAAGGAAAAUGAAGACUAAUUCAUUUUGAGUGAGGGGUACCAAGCCCUGAUAUUAUUUGGGUACCUGGAUCCAGUUAUGAUUUAAAUGCUUGAACUUUCCACUCAUGUGAAUCAAUUCACACAUGCUUUUGAUUAAGCUCAUUGGAUUUUCUGUCUCUCCCAAUCAAGAAUCUUCACUAAUACAGGAAGGUGGGUCAGAUAUUAUAAUUCUCACUUUACAAAGCAUGAAAUGGAGGCUCAGAGAAGCCUUAAGGUAGAGAGGUCCAAGUUCUCUAAUUCAAGGGCUCCUUCCAUUGCUCCACUCUACUCAUUCAGUGAUUCAUUACAGUAAAAUGGGAAGAACUGACACAUACAUCCAUUGUUAUCUUUACUGACUUUAACAUUUCUGCUUUUGAGAAAAUGGAUGAAUCUUUCACAGUGCUACCAUGGGAGAUAAUCUAUUAUUUUAGUAAAAUAAAGAUGGUUAUGUAUACUCACACACACACGUAUAUACACGUACAAUAAAAGGCCACAAUAGGUGUUUUGGAUUUGUGCAUAUUUUCUUCCCUAAGGGCCUUUCCAGAAUAUAGGCUGGCUCUUGUUGAAGCCCACUUCCCCCCCAGGGGACUUCUGCACUAAGUCUAUGGACCAUCUCUGCUUCCUCCAUCAUCCUCAUGCCAGCCUUGCCUGCUGAAAACUCAUCAUCCUCAGCCUGACUGAAAACUCUUUGCUCAGCAGAGUGACCUGUAUAGUGACUCAUCUACAGGACGGUGAGUCACUAAGCAAAGAUCACAAAGAGGAAGCCUGAACACAAAUCCCACUCCCCUUAUAUUUUGUUUGACUCACACUUUUUUUGAGCUACAAUUAAACUUUGAGAAAUUUUACAUAAAAACUUAGAUUUCAAGCUUUGCUUGAAAAAAAUCAAAAGGACUGUCAACUAUGCAUUGCCACAAGGUGACAUGGGCCAAAUCUGACUCCUAUCUGAGUCCUUUAGAUGUAUUUUCUUCCUUCACCCUAUUCCCCAUCUGGCCUCUUUUUACUCAUUUCUGCCACCUGCCUGGCCUCUGUGAGCAUACACAUUUGCAAUCCUUGUCCUAACUUUCCUUUGACCUAUUUGGGGCUAACCCGAUUGAGAUGCCACCUUGCCCUCCAGUGGCUGUGACUGGAAGCAGCCUGUUUCUAG